UACGUGGGGUGCAAGCGUUGUUCGGAAUUACUGGGCGUAAAGCGUGUGUAGGCGGCUCGCUAAGUCUGGUGUGAAAUCCCCAAGCUUAACUUGGGAACUGCAUCGGAAACUGGCGAGCUUGAGUCCGGGAGAGGGUAGCGGAAUUCCUGGUGUAGAGGUGAAAUUCGUAGAUAUCAGGAGGAACACCGGUGGCGAAGGCGGCUACCUGGACCGGUACUGACGCUGAGACACGAAAGCGUGGGGAGCAAACAGG
RNAcentral lists this ribosomal RNA (253 nucleotides) under uncultured bacterium. RNAcentral's name for it is "partial 16S ribosomal RNA". It matches the Rfam family "Bacterial small subunit ribosomal RNA", at positions 524 to 776 of the family's 1533-position model. The record is from RNAcentral.